Molecule: long non-coding RNA, 6746 nt
Filed under: Sus scrofa (pig)
Lineage: Eukaryota; Metazoa; Chordata; Mammalia; Artiodactyla; Suidae
Description: lncRNA (ENSSSCG00050065543.1)
Source: RNAcentral
UUUUUUUUUUUUUUUUUUUUUACUGAAUGAAUCAUUGUGUAGACAUUUGUUGAGUUUUUUUGCCAUGUCACCAGCAUGAAUAAGUUCCCAGGCCAAGGACUGCACCUGUGCCACAGCAGUAACCAGAGCUAUAGCAGUGACAACACUGGAUCCUUAACCCACUGAGCCACCAGGAUACUCCCAUUUAUAGUUUUCAAAACAAAAUGUGUGUACCUUUUAAAUGGAAUACCUAAUUAAUUUAAUUAGUCUAUGAUUGAAGCAAACAUUGCUUUUUUGUUUUGAAUUAAAUUUCACAUUACAAUUUCUAAAUUUAAGGUGUACUGUGUUACUUUUGAUGUACUCGUACUAUAAUACGAUUGUCAAUAAAGCAAUAUUUAUAUUAUAUCAAUAUAGUACAGUAUUAUAGAUGACAUUCAUUAUAUUAUAUUCUUUACUGCCUGUUACAAGUUUGUAACCCUUAAAUACCAUCAAUCUUAUCCCCCUAUUCCCACACCCUGGUAAUCACCAUUUUACCCCCCUUUUUUAAAACAGGUUCAACAUUUUCUUUCUCUUUUUUGUUUUUUGGGGGCACACCUGUGGCAUGAAGUUCAGCCAGGCAACUUCUGAAUAAGCUGCUGCAGUGCCAAUACCAAAUCCUUAACCUGCUGUGUCACAAGAGAACUCCAACUUCUUUUUAUAUUUGACAUUUAAGUGAUAUCUAUCAUACCGUACUUGUCUUUGUGUGACUUAUCUUGCAUAGCAUAAUGUGAUCAAGGUACACCCAUAUUGUUACAAAUGGCAGGAUGCCUUUCUCAUGGCUGAAUAAUAUCCCACUGGGUAUAUAUAUUACGCCUUUUUAAUCUAUUCAUCCAUUGAUGGGCACUUGGGUAGUUUCCACAUCUUGGCUAUUGUGAAUAAUUCUGCAAUAAAUAUGAGUGUGCAAAUAUCUUGUCAAAAUCUUAUUUUCAUUUCCUUUGGGUAUAUACUCAGGAGUGAACUGAUGGACCAAAUGGUAGAUUUACUUUUAAUAUUUUGAGGAACCUCUAUAUUGUUUUACAUAGUGGUUGGACUAAUUUAUAUUCCCACCAACAGUGUGUAGGGGGUUCUCUUUUCACCAUAUCCCCUUUCUCCCUUCCUUCCUUCUCCCCCCACCCCCGCCCUUUUUCCUUUUUUUGUCUUUUUAGGGUCACGCCCACGGCGUAGAGAACUUCCCAGGCUAGGGGUCCAAUCGGAGCUGUAGUAGCUGCUGGCCUAUGCUGCAGCUGAUGGCAACCUUGGUUCCUUAACACACUGAAAGAGGCCAGGGAUCAAACCCGUAUCCUCAUGGUUACCAGUCAGGUUCAUUACCACUGAGCCACAACAGGAACUCCCUCGUUUUUUGUUUGUUUUUUUUAAUGACAUAUGUAACCACAACAUACGUAAGUUCCAAGUCAGGGACUGAGUUAGAGCCAUAGCUGUGACCUAUGCCACAGCUGUUGCAAGGCCGAAUCCUUUAACCCGCUGUGUGGGCUGAGGACAGAACCUGUACCUCCACUGCAACCUGAGCUCCUGCAGUAGGAUUCUUAACCCACUGUACCACAGUGGGAACUCCACACUUGCCUUCUUGAUAGCUAUUCUAACAGGUGUGAGGUGAUAUCUUAAAAUAUUAGCAAACCGAAUUCACUAAAAGGAGUAUAUGCCAUGACCAAAUGGGAUUUAUUCCAGGAUGCAAGAAUGUUUCAACAUAUGAAAAUCAGUACGUAUAAUUCAUUAUAUACCUCAACAUAAUAAAGGCCUUAUAUGAUAAACCCACUGCUAACAUUCUAAUCAAUGCAGAAAAACCGAGAUCAGUUAAGACUGGUUAGUUAAGACUGGUUACAAGUCAAAGUUGCCCACUCUCACCCUUCCCAUUCAGUGUAGUAGAUAUCCUUUGGUAUCUGUGGGGGAUUGGUCCCAAAGCCCCCAUGGAUACUAAAAUCCUCAAAUGCUCAAGUCCCUUACAUAAAAUGGUAUAAUACAAUGAAUACAGUUGGCCCUUUGUAUCCAUGGAUGUGAAACCCGUAAAUACGGAGGAUUGACUGUACUGGAAGUCCUACCUCGGGCAAUUAAGCAAGACAAAGAAAAAGAAGAUAUCCAAAUUGGGAAGGAAGGAGUAAAACUAUCACUAUUUGUGGAUGAUUUCUUAUUUACAUAAAGAAAAAUCCCCAAAAGUCAAUCAAAACCUCUCAGAACUAAUCAAUGAUUUCAGUAAACAGGCAAGUUACAAACUUGCACAAAUCAGUGGCAUUCCUUUACACUAAAGAUGAAGCAUCAAAAAAAGAAACUAUCCCACUUACGAUAGCAUCAAAAACAAAUACUUAGGAGUAAAUUUAGUGAGGAAGUGAAUCUGUACAAUGAAAACUAUAAGACUUUGCUGAAAGAAAUGAGAAGACACAAACAAACGGAAUGACAUCCAUGUUGGUUGAUGGAUCAGAAGAGCGUUAUCUUUUUAAGGAUGAGUGAACUCGCAAAGACAGAUGCCCAUUAAGUCUUAGAAUACUUAUAGAGGCUGAAAAUCUUUUCCAUGUGCCAUACUUUCCUUCACUAUGCACAAUUUGAUGUAGAUGGUCAAACGCAAUCAAAAACCUGUAUGGGAUUUAUAAAGUUCAGGGGAGUUGACCUUAGUCUGUAAUGAUUAGUGAAUAAAACUUUUAGCUUUCCAGGUGUUAAUGAGGACCUGACUUUCUCAAUUUCUCUUACCUCAAUUCAUAGCUUAGAUAACUAUGUCCCAGAAUUUGUCCUUAUUAAUGGAUUUAACAAUUGAAUUGAAGUUCAAAGUGAGGUGUAUAAUGACAGAAUGAGUUUGAAAUUUAACAAAAUUCCCAGUGGCCUGCUGUUCUAUUUAUCAAAAACUCAUGUCUUCCCAAUGUGAUUGCACUGAAAAUUAAGUUCAUUCCUAAGCCCCAGAAGAUUCUCAAUGAAAUACUAAAGUGUUACUUAUCCUUUCAUUUUUAGAACCUUUUAUUUUAUAGACUGUAUGGAGAUAAUCUUUUUCCCCUUUUGGUGGAAGUUAGGAGUCUGGAAAGGGAACCAUCUUUAUCUGCUACAAACUUUUAACUUUUAAAGCUUCCAUAAGGAAAAUAUAAACCUACUCUCAAUCUGCAAGGUCUAUUGAAAGUGACUAAUACAGGCCAUGAGGCAUGUGCUACAGGGGGAGCUGGGGAGGUUAGGGGAAUUCAUCAGGUUAGUCAGAGAUGACUAGAAAGUAUACUAUUCAGUAGAAUUUCAAAAUGAGGACUGGUCUCUCUUUCAGACUUUAACUGUGCUAAAUUACAUAUCUUCAGUUAAAAAUGUAGACCUUUUUCCCUGCUAAGGUUAUUUCCAUAAGGUUAACUAUUUUUAACAACGAAAAGUUUGAAAUAUUCAUUUAUUAGACAAUUUGGGAACAGUUCCAAUGAAUUAGAAAUUGCUAAUUCUGGGAUUUACUCUCUGAACAAUGAACAUAUGAAUUUUUACUAACGUUAUCAUGAGCUUUGCAUAUACCUGCCAAGAGGAUAAGAGAUCUCUAAGCAGAGAGACCUACUUAACUUCCUUGAGGUAGGAGUGAGGAUACUGUGGACCACCAGGUAAAUAAACAUUUUAUAAGCCAAUUCCUUCUCUAGGCAGAAAAGAAAAGGCCGCAACCAGAAACAAAAAUAUCACAAAUGACAAGGCUCACCAGUUAAGGUACAUAUACAGUAAAGAUAUGAAAUCAUCCACGUACCAUUACGCCACCAAAAUCAGAAAUUGUGAGAAGAGGAGGGUACAAAUACAGGACACUGGAGUUGUACUUGCAAUUAAGAGACCAACAACUUAAAAUAAUCUAGUGUAUAUAUAUAUAUAGACUCUUAUAUGAAAAAUUCAGAAUAUAAGACAAUUUGACAACUAUACUUUUAUUAAGCAAAUCAAUCCCAGACAUGAUCCCUUCCUUCAAGAAUGUUAAAAUGCUACAAAAGGGAAAAGAAACAAAGUAUAUCUAGCCUAUGUCUAAUUUUCUUUAUCCUCAGAAGUCAAUUCAAUGUUCAGGAGUUAGAACUACAUAUUUAACUGCACGUACACAUCGAUCCAUUAUAAUGAUAUACUGCUGAUAUUUUAGUUUCUUCAGAGAGAGAGAAUCUUUUCCUCAAAAUUUUCCCUUCCUUAGCAUUGUGUUUUUGUAUAUCUAAAUUAUUUUGCGGUACCUUAAAAAGAAAAAACUUAAAAUUUUUUUUUUUGGGGGGAGGGCAAAUUUACACUAAUUUUUUUACUCAUCUACUCUUACUUAGGCAUUUCAUUUUCUUAGGUAGCUCUAAUGUAAGUCAGUGGUUUGUCCUUACGUCAAUUAAGUUCAGCAGGAAAAUUAGUCUAUGAUUAUUUGAAUUAUAAAUUUCAAAUUACUAUGGGAAUCUUGUUUUACUUUUUCUUUUCUCGAAUUUGUCCUUUCAAGCAACUGAAGAUACAGUAUAUAGUAUAUUUCAUCACAAAAUAAUAGAUGAGAUUUUUCCACAUGAAAUCUGAUAAAGAGUGAAUCCAAGACUAAAAACACGGGACUGCAUCAAUACCUGUAGUACUGGCUGAAAAAGGAGAUAUUAAAGAAAAUCAUUUGAAAAAAACAAACAAACAAACAAACCAAAAAAACAGAUGCUGACUCACAGACAUUGAAAAACUUAUGGUCUCCGGAGGAGACAGUUUGGGGGGUGGGGGGAUGUGCCUGGGUUGUGGGAUGGAAAUCCUGUGAAAUCAGAUUGUUAUGAUCAUUAUACAACUACAGAUGUGAUAAAUUAAUUUGAGGAAUAAAAAAAUGAAAAAAAAUAAUAAAGAAAAUCAUUUGAGAGCAAUGAAAAAAUUUUUUGGGAGGAGGGGGCUGCACCUACAGCGUGCUUAAGUUCCUGGGCCAGUGACUGAAUUUGAACCACAGCAAUGGCAAUGCCUAGUCCUUAACUGCUAGGCCACCAGGGAACUGCACUUAAAAAAAAAAUUGAUUACUAAAGAUAGUGAGAGGGAAAUAAGAAAAAUGAUUUCCUUUGCCUUAGAAACUUCAUUUUAUUUUCUGUAUAGUAUAGGUAUUACGGCUUUUAAAAAGCCUGUUGGCUGUAAACCAGCUAUAAUGGAAAAAAAUAAAAAAAUAUUAAUAAAAAAUAAAAAGCCUGUUGAAACUUGAUUUGAAGUAUUAUUGGGAGAUGAUACCUCUUAAUGAGUCAAGGUGAGAAUGUCCAAGCCUAUACAUUGAUAUGCAGGACUGGCCAGCUUUUAGAAGCAUCUGACUAGAGCGUGGGCAGGUUAAGUCAGGUCUAUGGUCCCUAAUUCCAUUCAUUUGCUUAUUUAAUAAAUGCACUGAGUUCCUAUAUGGGUAACUGUUCUAGGAAAGGCACUGUUCUAGAGCUGGAGAUAAAGUAGUAAAUGCAUCUGAAAACAGAUAUGGAACUUAUAAUCUAAUUAGAGGAGACAGAAAAAUAUAUAGAAUGUAAGAUCUAAGCGUCCUGGAAAAAAAAAAAAAAAAAAAGCAGGGAAGAAGGGCAGGAAAUGCUGGAGAUGAGGAAAUUCGUCGUUUUAAUUAAGGUGGUCAGGGAAGGGCUCUCUAAGAAGGGGACAUCUGAAAAGAGAUGAGGGAGUGAUUCACUGGGAACACCUGGGGGCAGAGUACUCCCAGCAAAGGGGAUGGCAGGUAGAGGCAAGAUCAUGACUGGUCUUUCAAGGAGCAGUAAGGAGAUCAGGUAGAGUAAGCAACAAGGAUGACUACACAGAUGUCGUCAAGAAGCCACACUACAUGUGGCCUUGUUGGUAAUUGUAAGGACUUUAGCUUUUACUCUGAGGGAGAAACAAAGUCCUACCUGAGGAUUCUGAAGAGAGAACUGAUGUCAUCUGGGAUAUGUUUAAAAAUGACUACUCUAGUCACUUGCUAAAAACAGACUAUAAAGGGGCAAGGAAGCAAGGAAGCAAUUUAGGAGGCUAUUAGAAAACUCUAGGCAGUAGAUGCUCAUGGCUGUGCCAGGGUGAAAGUGGUAGAAAUGAUGAGAACUGGUCAGAUUCUGGAUUAUGCUGUGAAUCAUUCUUUCCAGGGUUAAAACAAUGUAUUAAAUCGUAACACACUGGAACAGUGACUUUCCAUGAGUGGAAAAGAUGAUAGAGUCAAAAGGGAGUAAGAGUCCAGGAAUGGCUAUAGAUUUCCUUCCUUAUUUUGCCCUGUCUUCGAGCAUAAGUGCAGGUAUGCAAGCAAACAGUGAUAAGAAAAUACUGACCCUUGUAUAUGUCUCAAGUCCAUAUGAUUACGGGAAAACUCACUAAGCCUGGAUCAGGAGUUCUUAUGACAUUACUCUGCAGCUGGUAUUUCCAAAGACAGGUGACAGAUAUAGAUACUUGGCUCCCUCCUAUGGUCUAUGUCAUUUUCUAUACGUUCUGCCUUUCAUAUUACAGCAGAGAUGUUUUUGAACAAAGGUAGAACUAAUAAUUAUUAAAUAGACCAAAUAUAUGAAUUAAGGAAGUCUUUAAAUUAAGGAAGUCUUUAAUUCAGAUCUUGGCUUGGUUAUUCGGCUCAAUGACUGUGUUCCAGCCAGUCUUACUCCUGGCCAGUAAUAUCUCAAUAAGACUGUGGAAAGACAUACGAAUGCCAUUCCGUGCUCCUUGGAGUAGACUAAACAUAAAGUAAAUGCCUUUUCUUAAAUAAGUACCUGCAAGCAACUAUUCAUUUUACAUAUAACAAGUAUGAAAUAACAUAUACCUGUACUAGGUAUUUUACAUUUCGUGCUGGAAAUCCCCAUGAUUAAACUAAACUUAAAAAAAUUACAAAAACU